This 253-nucleotide ribosomal RNA is filed under the name uncultured bacterium. Its description in RNAcentral is "partial 16S ribosomal RNA". It matches the Rfam family "Bacterial small subunit ribosomal RNA", at positions 524 to 776 of the family's 1533-position model. The record is from RNAcentral.
UACAGAGGGUGCGAGCGUUGUUCGGAUUCAUUGGGCGUAAAGGGUGCGUAGGCGGCGCCGUAAGUCAGGUGUGAAAUCUCGGGGCUCAACCCCGAAACUGCACUUGAUACUGCGGUGCUCGAGUACUGGAGAGGAGAUUGGAAUUUACGGUGUAGCAGUGAAAUGCGUAGAUAUCGUAAGGAAGACCAGUGGCGAAGGCGAAUCUCUGGACAGUUACUGACACUGAGGCACGAAGGCCAGGGGAGCAAACGGG